RNAcentral lists this ribosomal RNA (45 nucleotides) under Pseudallescheria sp. IBL 03176. Its description in RNAcentral is "partial 28S ribosomal RNA". The record is from RNAcentral. Lineage: Eukaryota; Fungi; Ascomycota; Sordariomycetes; Microascales; Microascaceae.
AUGAUCCCUCCGCUGGUUCACCAACGGAGACCUUGUUACGACUUU